UAACGAGCUAAAAAUAAAUGCCGUGCUGCCGCUGAGACAGGCGGAGCUGGAUGCUCUUUGAGAUGCUAACAGGAGCUAUACUGCCUGCGGUACUGACAUCACCGAUCUGACAAGGAUCCAUGAAGGUCCGGUGUCGCUGUUACAAACCGGACUUGUGUAACAGUGGACUCUAAACAGCACAGAUGUUGCAAACCGGACACUGGGCUAUAGACGGUGGGAGACACACAAAGGCAAGCAGCGCUAAUGGCGCUAUCACUACUGGAAAUGCUAAUGGAGUUAGAGCACCAGUACUCUGGAACCACUACCAACACAGAACGAAGUUCAGACCCUCAACCGCUGUUACCUAACAGGACACAGAGCUACAGAAGAACUUACCGGAUCACGAAGUUCCGACUAGAGACCCCUGACUGCUGAGUCCUCAGCCUGACCUUCUGCAGACACACAGCGGACCUGAUCAACACCCGGUCCAGACUGGACCGUCCCGGCAGAGGUGGAUUGGAGUCUCUGACACCGGCGCUGUUUGAAACCGGGUCUCAGGACGGAACUUUUCGGGAGCACGAGCCGCGGAGGCGUGAAGUCCUCCACGGGACAGCGCACAAGGCAGGACACAAGGCUGCAGGGUUUAUUCUACAC
Molecule: non-coding RNA, 633 nt
Organism: Poecilia reticulata (guppy)
Lineage: Eukaryota; Metazoa; Chordata; Actinopteri; Cyprinodontiformes; Poeciliidae
Source: RefSeq, a predicted model, not a curated record